GAUGAACGCUAGCGAUAGGCUUAACACAUGCCAGUCGAGGGGCAGCACAAGGUAGCUUGCUAUCUGGGUGGCGACCGGCGCACGGGUGCGUAACGCGUAUGCAACUUGCCCUAUACAGGAGGAUAACCCGUCGAAAGACGGACUAAUACUGCGUAUGCUCACAACUUGGCAUCAAGUGGUGAGGAAAGAAAUUCGGUAUAGGAUAGGCAUGCGUCCCAUUAGCUUGUUGGUGAGGUAACGGCUCACCAAGGCAACGAUGGGUAGGGGAACUGAGAGGUGUGUCCCCCACACUGGGACUGGGACACGGACCAGACUGCUACGGGAGGCAGCAGUGAGGGAGAUAGGUGAAGGGACGCGAGCCUGAACCAGCCAAGUCGCGUGAAGGAUGACUGUCUUAGGGAUGGUAAACUUCUUGUAGACGGGAAUAACAAGAGGCACGGGUGACUCCCUGCAGGUACCGUAUGAAUAAGCAUCGGCUAACUCCGUG
RNAcentral lists this ribosomal RNA (487 nucleotides) under uncultured bacterium. RNAcentral describes it as "partial 16S ribosomal RNA". It matches the Rfam family "Bacterial small subunit ribosomal RNA", at positions 28 to 507 of the family's 1533-position model. The record is from RNAcentral.